GCCAGAAAAUACGGUAGUCUGAAAGAAUAAGAAUGAAUUUUUGCUUUAUUGCAGAGCUUUGAAUUGCAGUGGCCCAGGUGGACCUCCACACGUGAAGCUUGUUAUCGAAUGGGAACACAGCUCCAAAGAGUGUUUGUUUGGCAGCAUCCAGGAGGAGGUGGUAAAGGAUACAGAGAGUGUGAAGAACCAACAACAACAACACCUUCAGCAGCAUAGCUGCACCUUGAGUGAGUGCUUCCAGCUGUACACCAAAGAAGAGCAGCUUGCACCAGAUGAUGCCUGGAAGUGCCCCCACUGUAAGCAGCUUCAGCAGGGCAUGGUGAAGAU
Molecule: long non-coding RNA, 327 nt
Organism: Nematolebias whitei (Rio pearlfish)
Lineage: Eukaryota; Metazoa; Chordata; Actinopteri; Cyprinodontiformes; Rivulidae
Exons: 3
Source: RefSeq, a predicted model, not a curated record